UGCGUAGGCGGCGGGGAAAGUCAGAUGUGAAAUCCGGAGGCUCAACCUCCGAAUUGCAUCCGAUACUACCUCGCUAGAGAUUUGUAGAGGAGCUUGGAAUUCUCGGUGUAGCAGUGAAAUGCGUAGAUAUCGAGAAGAACGCUCGCAGCGAAGGCGAAGCUCUGGGCAAAUUCUGACGCUGAUGCACGAAGGCGUAGGGGAGACAAAC
RNAcentral lists this ribosomal RNA (208 nucleotides) under uncultured bacterium. RNAcentral describes it as "partial 16S ribosomal RNA". It matches the Rfam family "Bacterial small subunit ribosomal RNA", at positions 568 to 773 of the family's 1533-position model. The record is from RNAcentral.